Molecule: non-coding RNA, 386 nt
Organism: Notechis scutatus (mainland tiger snake)
Lineage: Eukaryota; Metazoa; Chordata; Lepidosauria; Squamata; Elapidae
Source: RefSeq, a predicted model, not a curated record
UCGUUGAUGUCCUUCUCCAUCCAUGAUCUUGUGUCUUGGUGGCUUCUUUCCUCCCUGACAGGCAAAAGGAGUCCUCAAAUUCAUCGAAGCAAUUUCUGAGAAGACCCUGAGAAGCACUGUGGCUUUAACAGCAGCUAGAGGGCGUGGGAAGUCGGCUGCUUUGGGACUGGCAAUAGCGGGAGCAGUGGCUUUUGGCUAUUCCAACAUUUUUGUCACAUCUCCAAGUCCAGAUAAUCUUCACACCCUCUUUGAAUUUGUAUUUAAAGGCUUUGAUGCUCUACAGUACCAGGAACAUUUGGAUUAUGAGAUCAUUCAGUCUCUCAAUCCUGAAUUCAGCAAAGCAGUUGUGAGAGUCAAUGUGUUUCGAGAACAUAGACAGACAAUAC